AUGGCUCAGAAGGUUGUGUUAAAGGUGUUAACUAUGACUGAUGACAAAACAAAGCAAAAAGCUAUAGAAGCAGCUGCAGAUAUCUAUGGAGUUGAUUCAAUAGUUGCAGAUAUAAAAGAGCAGAAAUUGACAGUGAUUGGUUCAAUGGACACAGUGAAAAUAGUGAAGAAACUGAAGAAAGUUGGAAAAGUAGAUAUUGUAUCUGUUGGACCUGCAAAAGAAGAGAAAAAAGAAGAAAAAAAGGAAGAGAAAAAGGAAGAAAAAAAAGAAGAGAAAAAGGAGGAAAAGAAAGAAGAGAAGAAGGAGGAAAAGAAAGAGGAGAAUAAAUAA
Molecule: non-coding RNA, 330 nt
Organism: Vicia faba (fava bean)
Lineage: Eukaryota; Viridiplantae; Streptophyta; Magnoliopsida; Fabales; Fabaceae
Source: the annotation of a GenBank genome assembly